This 254-nucleotide ribosomal RNA is filed under the name uncultured bacterium. RNAcentral describes it as "partial 16S ribosomal RNA". It matches the Rfam family "Bacterial small subunit ribosomal RNA", at positions 524 to 776 of the family's 1533-position model. The record is from RNAcentral.
UACGUAGGACCCAAGCGUUAUCCGGAAUCACUGGGCGUAAAGCGAAUGUAGGCGGCGCGUUAAGUGUAAUGCGAAAUCCUGUGGCUCAACCAUAUGGACUGUAUUGCAUACUGGCGUGCUUGAGGAUGGCAGAGGCAAGUGGAAUUACUCGUGUAGCAGUGAAAUGCGUAGAUAUGAGUAGGAACACCAAUGGCGAAGGCAGCUUGCUGGGCCACACCUGACGCUGAGAUUCGAAAGCGUGGGGAGCGAACAGG